UUCUUAAGGUUAUUUAUAUGGUUGGUGUAUUACAUUAAUUUGUGUAUAUUGAGCCAAGCCCUUCAUCUCUGAGAUAAAGCUAAUAUAUCUGCUAAAUCCAUUUGAGCAGUAGUAGAGCUUAAAGUUUCCUUGUAGAUUUUUAAUUUUAAUGACCUGUGUAGAGAUGAGAACUGACAAUAGAAUCUCCCACUAUGUUGCACUUACACCCAUAUGACUUUUAAAUGCCUGUUCAUGUCUGUAUGAAGUCAUGAGCCACAGUGCUUGCUGCAUAUUUAUUCACAGUAGUUAUAACUGCAGUUCAGUUGUUCCCUUUAUUACAAUAUGCUGACCUUUUUGUUUGUUCUAAUUUGAUUUCAGAUUAUCAGCUAUCAAAAUACUUUGCCUUAUAUGUAGUUUCCAUUUGUUUGGUAGGCUGACUUCUGUCUUUUGACUCUCAGUGUGGGUAUCCUCCAGAGAGAUGCUUCUCAGAAACAUUAGUUUGAGGUCAUUUGUUCCUAGAAACUGUGUACUAAUCACUAUAAUUCUGUUGCUUAGACUUCUGUUCUUUUCCCUCCUGCCAGAGGUUUUCUGGUGUAUUCCAUCAGACAUGAUGGAUUCCUUCUGAGCUCUCCUCUGUUGUCUGCUUCUCUGUGAAAGUCUUACUCCCUUAUUCUCUAAUGAUUGAGAGUGUUUUUGCAUCUUCCUCUGUGUAUAAUAUUCCUUUAACUAUCUUCUGGAAUGCCAAAUUGGUGGUCAUGAACUGCCUUAAUUUGUGCUUAUCUUCAAAUAUUUGUAUUUCUUUAUCAGUUUUCAAAGAUAAUGCUGCCGAGUGUAGCAACUGGGUCAGCACACUUGAACUAUAUCAUUCCAUGUUUCCUGACUUGAAGUGACUGAUGAGAGGCCUGAUGUUAUUCUGAUAGUUAUGUCUCUGUAGGUGUUUCCCUCUUAGAGCUUUUAACCUGGUUUCUUUGUAUUCCUGUUUUCCUGGCUUUUAUGUGCCAUGGAAACAUUGUUAUCUGCUCAUGUCUGCUUGGCAUUGUGUGCCAUGGAGACAUUGUUAUCCGCUCAUGUCUGUUUGGCAUUCUGCAUGAGCUUUUGUGUUUUGAUGUCCAUUUCAUUCUCUAGAUCUGUGAAAUUUCCUGCUAUGGUUUUCUGGACUGCAUGCCUGCCAUUCUUACCUGAGUCUCUACCCACGGUUCUUAGGUUGGAUUGCAGAGUUCUUGGGCUUUAAGGUCAAACCCCUUCAUUGUUUUCUUUAUGGGUAUUGGAAUGCAAGGUUUGUCUGUUGUGCCCUCCAGCCCUGAAACUCUUUCUUCCUCUUGGUCACAUUUCUUGGCAAUGCUUUCCGCUGUUUUUUUAUUUGAUUCAUUGAGUUCAUUUCCACGUUUCUUUUUUCAAAACCUCAAUUUCAUUGUUGAUUUUCCCCCCUUACCCAUAUUUUUCAUUUAUAUUACUGAGUUUCCUCUCUCUCUCUCUCUCUCUCUCUCUCUCUCUCUCUCUCUCUCUCUCUCUCGUGUGUGUGUGUGUGUGUGUGUGUGUGUGUGCACUCUAGCCCACCCCUCUCUCCCUCCCAUCCCUGUGAGCUUCCCCUACAUGCCCAUUUCCCACAUUCUUGUCUUGGUUUAGAGAUCUGUGUUCCUAAAUACUGAAGAGACACAUUUCUUUUUGUUAAAGCCAGAACUCUCAUUUGAAAAUAUUUUCAAUUAGUAAUCAUAUAGAUUUGAAAAAAUACUUUGGUUUAUCUUUAAUGGCAUAUAAAACAAAAUACAGUAAUCCUGUGACCAUGAAGGGAAGGUGGUUAGGAAUGUGGGCAUGCAAUCUGGGAGGUAAUGAAGCGUGUUCAUCCUUUCAUCGAGUCUAGGAUGCAUAUAUUCAUGUGUCUGUGGGACAAUUAAAAGAUAAUAAAGACAAUACUGAUAUUCUAUCUUUUCUAUAAAUGUUUAGUGCCAUAAAACCAUCACAGCUUUUUUAUUUUUCUACAUGUAAUUGUUUUGAAGUAUAUACUUAGGUAACUAUUUAAUUUUACCAUUUAUUCAAGAUUCUUACUGGAAGAAUCUAACAAAUUUCUUUAUAGAUUUUAUUUCCCAAAUUGUAUUGCUGGUAAAUUGUUACAGCAGCUGUAGUUAAGUCCUCAAGUGCGAGAAUAUCUGUAUUGCCUUCAUGCUGUAAAACUCCAGAUAACACCGGGUGACAGACUAGAAAGGAAAUAAAUGUAAUUCCCAGAACUACUAGUGAGGCGCUAAGGAUGCAUUAACUCUUGGAAAGACAGCUCCCGUCUGCUGGGUGUGAGAAGGAAGUGUCUCCCUAUAAAGCCAACCAGAUGAGAUAUGGUGAGGGCUAGAUUUACCUCAGCUUUCUAGCCUUGUGACCAUAAAAUCUUUGAAAGUAGAAUAACUUGCAUUUGACUUAAACAUAGACUUUGAGGGAUACAUUUCUAGACUUGAAGCCAAUAUGGUUGUGAACUGAGGCUGUUUCUGUAGAGGCAUGUUGUCUUGACAUACAUAGAGAUGCUUUACCACAGUCUCGCUCAGCCACAGGGCUCCUUGUCUUUAGUGUACUGCGUCUGCACGUCCUUGCAUGUUGCUCUUUAGCCUUUGACCCACACUCUGCUUACUUGUUUCCUCUUCCUAGGUCUGUAAGGUCAUGAAUGACACACUAGCAGAGAACAGGGUUUAAAAUGUAGAAAUCAUGGGUUUGGCCACUGCCUCUCCUCAGCUCUGUCAAGGCCUGGGAGAUCUCUGAACUCUGGGCCUGCCUGAGUGUUUUAGGAGGAGCAUCACCGCUCCCAUGUUUGAGACAUGGUGCUGCCAUUGCUCACCAAAUAACCAUUAGCCAUUGCCUUUCCUCAUCACCCAUGAGGAAACGGGACCUGGAGCAGGGCUGACAGUUUUAUAAGGUCAUGUAGCAAGUUCAUCUGGGGUUUAGAGCUUCUGCCUGAGCCCCUGAGCCUUAGGACAACCUGUAUUCUACCUUCGUAACCUUUCCUCAUAAGUUUGCUGACUGGAAUUUUUGCUUUCUUAACUCUUGUUCACAGUUUAUCUUUGAGGAAAUGUAUGGGUUUUUUUUUCUGGUUUUUAUCCUUAGCCAGGAGAGUGAUGUUUCCUCCUUUGCUGAUAAGCAGUAAGCAAUAAGCCAGACUCCAGGUCUGAGGAAGUACAGUUGUAGAAGCUGAAGGUUACCCUAUGGGUGGGCCAGUUCUUUGCACUAGAUUUUAAAUGUUUACUCUUUCCUGCAUUAGUGCUUAAAUAUGAAAAACAUCAAAGUUCAAAGGGUAAAUAAUAUGUUUCACUUGAAUUUUUCUAAUAAAAUAUUUUGGUGUAUGUGUACCCAUGUAAAGAUGUGUAGAGUUUGGGUCUAGCUCACUGGGUGGAGUCUUUGCUUGCCCUGCUUAAAACUCUGGGUUCAGUUGCUGGCACCGCAUAGGCCAGGCUGAGGGGCAUAAACCUGUAAUCCCAGGCCACAGGAAACCCGUCAGAAAAAGCUGAAGCCUCUCCUCUUACAUAAGGGAUCUGAGGCCACCCUGGGUUAGAGAGCCUGUCUCAAAAAAGG
RNAcentral lists this long non-coding RNA (3528 nucleotides) under Mus pahari (shrew mouse). RNAcentral describes it as "lncRNA (MGP_PahariEiJ_G0004771.1)". Lineage: Eukaryota; Metazoa; Chordata; Mammalia; Rodentia; Muridae. The record is from RNAcentral.